This 468-nucleotide ribosomal RNA is filed under the name uncultured bacterium. RNAcentral's name for it is "partial 16S ribosomal RNA". It matches the Rfam family "Bacterial small subunit ribosomal RNA", at positions 28 to 507 of the family's 1533-position model. The record is from RNAcentral.
GACGAACGCUGGCGGCGUGCUUAACACAUGCAAGUCGAACGGAAAGGCCCUGCUUUUGUGGGGUGCUCGAGUGGCGAACGGGUGAGUAACAAGUGAGUAACCUGCCCUUGACUUUGGGAUAACUUCAGGAAACUGGGGCUAAUAACGGAUAGGAGCUCCUGCUGCAUGGUGGGGGUUGGAAAGUUUCGGCGGUUGGGGAUGGGCUCGCGGCUUAUCAGCUUGCUGGUGGGGUAGUGGCUUACCAAGGCUUUGACAGGUAGCCGAGCUGAGGGGGGGACCGGCCACAAUAGGACUGAGAUACGGCCCAGACUCCUACGGGAGGCAGCGGUGGGGAAUAUUACACAAUGGGCGGAAGCCUAAAGCAGCAACGCCGCGUGCGGGAUGACGACCUUCGGGUUGUAAACCGCUUUCGCCUGUGACGAAGCGUGAGUGACGGUAAUGGGUAAAGAAGCACCGGCUAACUACGUG